Molecule: non-coding RNA, 30 nt
Filed under: Homo sapiens (human)
Lineage: Eukaryota; Metazoa; Chordata; Mammalia; Primates; Hominidae
Source: RNAcentral
UUCCUAACAAUACCACAGAGAUUCAAGGGA